UUACGGUCAUAUUAUGUUGAAGCACCUGUUCCCGUACUAUCACAGAAGUUAAACAACGUCGAGCCUGGUCAAUACUUAGAAGGCUGACUGAUUGGGAAUAGCAGGCGCAGCC
Non-coding RNA from Acanthosepion pharaonis, 112 nucleotides. NCBI's taxonomy places the organism in Eukaryota, Metazoa, Mollusca, Cephalopoda, Sepiida, Sepiidae. The record is from the annotation of a GenBank genome assembly.